This 406-nucleotide ribosomal RNA is filed under the name uncultured bacterium. Its description in RNAcentral is "partial 16S ribosomal RNA". It matches the Rfam family "Bacterial small subunit ribosomal RNA", at positions 30 to 526 of the family's 1533-position model. The record is from RNAcentral.
AUUGAACGCUGGCGGCAGGCCUAACACAUGCAAGUCGAACGAGUGGCGGACGGGUGAGUAAUGUCUGGGAAACUGCCUGAUGGAGGGGGAUAACUACUGGAAACGGUAGCUAAUACCGCAUACCAUCAGAUGUGCCCAGAUGGGAUUAGCUAGUUGGUGGGGUAACGGCUCACCAAGGCGACAAUCCCUAGCUGGUCUGAGAGGAUGACCAGCAACACUGGAACUGAACCACGGUCCAGACUCCUACGGUAGGCAGCAGUAGGAAAUACUGCACAAUGGGCGCAAGCCUACUGCAGAGAUUCCGCGUGGAUGAAGAAGGCCUUCGGGUGGUAAAGUACUUUCGGCGUGAAGGCGUUACCCGCAGAAGAAGCACCGGCUAACUCCGUGCCAGCAGCCGCGGUAAUUC